GACGAACGCUGGCGGCGUGCUUAACACAUGCAAGUCGAACGAUGAAGCCGGAGCUUGCUCUGGUGAAUUAGUGGCGAACGGGUGAGUAACACGUGAGUAACCUGCCCUUGACUCUGGGAUAACUGCUAGAAAUGGUAGCUAAUACCGGAUACGACCCUCGGAGGCAUCUUCAGGGGGUGGAAAGAAUUUCGGUCAAGGAUGGACUCGCGGCCUAUCAGCUAGUUGGUGAGGUAAUGGCUCACCAAGGCGACGACGGGUAGCCGGCCUGAGAGGGUGACCGGCCACACUGGGACGGAGACGCGGCCCAGACUCCUACGGGAGGAAGCAGUGGGGAAUAUUGCACAAUGGGCGCAAGCCUGAUGCAGCAACGCCGCGUGAGGGAUGACGGCCUUCGGGUUGUAAACCUCUUUUAGUAGGGAAGAAGCGAAAGUGACGGUACCUGCAGAAAAAGCACCGGCUAACUACGUGCCAGCCGCCGCCGUAA
This 484-nucleotide ribosomal RNA is filed under the name uncultured bacterium. Its description in RNAcentral is "partial 16S ribosomal RNA". It matches the Rfam family "Bacterial small subunit ribosomal RNA", at positions 28 to 523 of the family's 1533-position model. The record is from RNAcentral.